RNAcentral lists this ribosomal RNA (253 nucleotides) under uncultured bacterium. Its description in RNAcentral is "partial 16S ribosomal RNA". It matches the Rfam family "Bacterial small subunit ribosomal RNA", at positions 524 to 776 of the family's 1533-position model. The record is from RNAcentral.
UACGUAGGGGGCAAGCGUUGUCCGGAAUCAUUGGGCGUAAAGAGCGUGUAGGCGGCCAGAUAAGUCCGCUGUGAAAUCUCGAGGCUCAACUUCGAGCUGUCGGUGGAAACUGUCUGGCUAGAGUCCGGAAGAGGAGAAUGGAAUUCCUGGUGUAGCGGUGAAAUGCGCAGAUAUCAGGAGGAACACCGAUGGCGAAGGCAGCUCGCUGGGACGGUACUGACGCUGAGACGCGAAAGCGUGGGGAGCAAACAGG